RNAcentral lists this ribosomal RNA (301 nucleotides) under uncultured bacterium. RNAcentral describes it as "partial 16S ribosomal RNA". It matches the Rfam family "Bacterial small subunit ribosomal RNA", at positions 509 to 807 of the family's 1533-position model. The record is from RNAcentral.
CAGUAGCCACGGUAAUACGGAGGGGGCUAGCGUUGUUCGGAAUUACUGGGCGUAAAGCGCACGUAGGCGGCUUGGUAAGUUAGAGGUGAAAGCCUGGAGCUCAACUCCAGAAUUGCCUUUAAGACUGCCGAGCUAGCAGGUGAGAGAGGUAAGUGGAAUUCCGAGUGUAGAGGUGAAAUUCGUAGAUAUUCGGAAGAACACCAGUGGCGAAGGCGGCUUACUGGCUCAUACUGGACGCUGAGGUGCGAAAGCGUGGGGAGCAAACAGGAUUAGAGACCCGCGUAGUCCCUGUCUCUUAUAC